This 303-nucleotide ribosomal RNA is filed under the name Triticum aestivum (bread wheat). Its description in RNAcentral is "partial small subunit ribosomal RNA". The record is from RNAcentral. Lineage: Eukaryota; Viridiplantae; Streptophyta; Magnoliopsida; Poales; Poaceae.
GCUAAGCAACAGAAGUUCUGGUUGCCUCCUCCUCCUCCGUUUCGCCAGCCUUUCCAGCAGAAGAACAAAGGUGGCCAUGGUUCUUCCCACUCUUCCAACUUUGGCUAUCAGAACAAGUCUCAGAAUCAAGCUUCAAAGUCGAAUGCUCCUUAUCACCGUCCACUCUCAGAGGUGACUUGCAACAAGUGUCAGCAGAAAGGUCAGUAUGCUAACAAGUGCUUCAACCAAAGGCGCCUUCCGCCUCCUCCUCAUGUGAGAUCUUCCAGCAAUGCAGUGGUCAAGCAUAAUCCAAAGUCUGCAAAG